Molecule: ribosomal RNA, 253 nt
Filed under: uncultured bacterium
Lineage: Bacteria
Description: partial 16S ribosomal RNA
Rfam family: Bacterial small subunit ribosomal RNA
Source: RNAcentral
UACGGGGGGGGCAAGCGUUGUUCGGAAUUAUUGGGCGUAAAGAGCUCGUAGGCGGUUUGUCGCGUCUGCUGUGAAAACCCGAGGCUCAACCUCGGGCCUGCAGUGGGUACGGGCAGACUAGAGUGCGGUAGGGGAGAUUGGAAUUCCUGGUGUAGCGGUGAAAUGCGCAGAUAUCGGGAGGAACACCGAUGGCGAAGGCAGCACUCUGGGCCGGCACUGACGCUGAGGAGCGAAAGCGUGGGGAGCGAACAGG